This 253-nucleotide ribosomal RNA is filed under the name uncultured bacterium. RNAcentral's name for it is "partial 16S ribosomal RNA". It matches the Rfam family "Bacterial small subunit ribosomal RNA", at positions 524 to 776 of the family's 1533-position model. The record is from RNAcentral.
GACGUAGGGCGCGAGCGUUGUCCGGAUUUAUUGGGCGUAAAGAGCUCGUAGGCGGCUUGUCGCGUCGAAUGUGAAAACCCGAGGCUCAACUUCGGGCUUGCAUUCGAUACGGGCAGGCUCGAGUUCGGUAGGGGAGACUGGAAUUCCUGGUGUAGCGGUGAAAUGCGCAGAUAUCGGGAGGAACACCGGUGGCGAAGGCGGUUCUCUGGGCCUGUACUGACGCUGAGGAGCGAAAGCGUGGGGAGCGAACAGG